AGAGUUUGAUCCUGGCUCAGAUUGAACGCUGGCGGAAUGCUUUACACAUGCAAGUCGAACGGCAGCACGGGAGCUUGCUCCUGGUGGCGAGUGGCGAACGGGUGAGUAAUACCUAGGAACAUGUCCAGUAGUGGGGGAUAACGCAGCGAARGSUGUGSUAAUACCGCAUACGCCCUGAGGGGGAAAGCGGGGGAUUCGAAAGAACCUCGCGUUAUAGGAGUGGCCUACGGCUGAUUAGCUAGUUGGUGAGGUAAAGGCUCACCAAGGCGACGAUCAGUAGCUGGUCUGAGAGGAUGAUCAGCCACACUGGAACUGAGACACGGUCCAGACUCCUACGGGAGGCAGCAGUGGGGAAUUUUGGACAAUGGGGGCAACCCUGAUCCAGCCAUUCCGCGUGAGUGAAGAGGGCCUUCGGGUUGUAAAGCUCUUUCAGGAGGGAAGAAACGGUUUUGGAUAAUACCUGAGACUAAUGACGGUACCUUCAGAAGAAGCACCGGCUAACUACGUGCCAGCAGCCGCGGUAAUAC
Molecule: ribosomal RNA, 527 nt
Filed under: uncultured Sulfuricella sp.
Lineage: Bacteria; Pseudomonadati; Pseudomonadota; Betaproteobacteria; Nitrosomonadales; Sulfuricellaceae
Description: bacterial SSU rRNA
Rfam family: Bacterial small subunit ribosomal RNA
Source: RNAcentral